CUUAGUAACUGCGAGUGAAGCGGCAAAAGCUCAAAUUUGAAAUCUGGCGUCUCAGGCGUCCGACUUGUAAUUUGGAGAGGCACCUUUGGAGUUGGCGCUGUCCCAAGUUCCUUGGAACAGGACGUCGCAGAGGGUGAGAAUCCCGUAUCUGGGCAGCUGUCGAAUCUCCAUUUCAGGGUGCUUUCAACGAGUCGAGUUGUUUGGGAAUGCAGCUCAAAAUGGGUGGUAAAUGUCAUCUAAAGCUAAAUAUUGGCGAGAGACCGAUAGCGCACAAGUAGAGUGAUCGAAAGAUGAAAAGCACUUUGAAAAGAGAGUCAAAAAGUACGUGAAAUUGCUGAAAGGGAAGCGCUUGAGAUCAGACUCAACUCCCUGAUGUUACUCCGGGCUUCUGUCCGGUAAUCUACGUCUUGGAUUGAGCCAGCAUCGGUUCUGGCGGUGGGAUAAAAGGUUGGGGAAUGUAGCUUCCUUCGGGGAGUGUUAGAGUCCCGGCCACAAUGCCACCAGCGAGGACCGAGGACCGCGCUUUGGCUAGGAUGCUGGCAUAAUGGUCUUAAGCGACCCGUCUUGAAA
RNAcentral lists this ribosomal RNA (570 nucleotides) under Myrmecocystis mediterranea. RNAcentral describes it as "LSU rRNA". It matches the Rfam family "Eukaryotic large subunit ribosomal RNA", at positions 79 to 659 of the family's 3401-position model. Lineage: Eukaryota; Fungi; Ascomycota; Pezizomycetes; Pezizales; Pyronemataceae. The record is from RNAcentral.